This 254-nucleotide ribosomal RNA is filed under the name uncultured bacterium. Its description in RNAcentral is "partial 16S ribosomal RNA". It matches the Rfam family "Bacterial small subunit ribosomal RNA", at positions 524 to 776 of the family's 1533-position model. The record is from RNAcentral.
UACGUAGGGGCCAAGCGUUGUCCGGAUUUAUUGGGCGUAAAGAGCUCGUAGGCGGUUGGGUAAGUCGGGUGUGAAAACUCCAGGCUCAACUUGGAGAUGCCACCCGAUACUGCUCUGACUUGAGUUCGGUAGGGGAGUGGGGAAUUCCCGGUGUAGCAGUGAAAUGCGUAGAUAUCGGGAGGAACAUCUGUGGCGAAGGCGACACCCUGGACCAGCACUGACACUGAGGCACGAAAGCGUGGGGAGCAAACAGG